This 253-nucleotide ribosomal RNA is filed under the name uncultured bacterium. RNAcentral's name for it is "partial 16S ribosomal RNA". It matches the Rfam family "Bacterial small subunit ribosomal RNA", at positions 524 to 776 of the family's 1533-position model. The record is from RNAcentral.
UACAGGGGGGGCAAGCGUUGUUCGGAAUUACUGGGCGUAAAGGGCCUGUAGGCGGCCAACUAAGUCACACGUGAAAUCCCCGGGCUUAACCCGGGAACUGCGUGUGAUACUGGAUGGCUUGAAUUCGGGAGAGGGAUGCAGAAUUCCAGGUGUAGCGGUGAAAUGCGUAGAUAUCUGGAGGAAUACCGGUGGCGAAGGCGGCAUCCUGGACCGACAUUGACGCUGAACGGCGAAAGCUAGGGGAGCAAACGGG